ACACGACUACAUUAGAUACCCCUGUAGUCCAGGGUGUAAACGCUGCGGGCUUGGUGUUGGGGGGUCCUUUGAGGGCGCCCAGUGCCGGAGAGAAGUUGUUAAGCCUGCUGCUUGGGGAGUACGUCCGCAAGGAUGAAACUUAAAGGAAUUGGCGGGGAGCACCGCAACGGGAGGAGCGUGCGGUUCAAUUGGAUUCAACGCCGGACAACUCACCAGCAGCGACUGUUACAUGAAAGUCAGGUUGAUGACCUUACUAGAUUUUCAG
RNAcentral lists this ribosomal RNA (265 nucleotides) under uncultured archaeon. RNAcentral's name for it is "partial 16S ribosomal RNA". It matches the Rfam family "Archaeal small subunit ribosomal RNA", at positions 717 to 982 of the family's 1478-position model. The record is from RNAcentral.